RNAcentral lists this ribosomal RNA (1525 nucleotides) under uncultured bacterium. RNAcentral's name for it is "partial 16S ribosomal RNA". It matches the Rfam family "Bacterial small subunit ribosomal RNA". The record is from RNAcentral.
AGUUUUGAUCAUGGCUCAGAAGCGAACGCUGGCGGCGUACUUAACACAUGCAAGUCGAACGGGGAUCAUCGGUGUAGCAAUACAUUGCUGGUCCUAGUGGCGCACGGGUGAGUAACACGUGGGUAACCUGCCCUUGAGUUCGGGAUACCCCCUCGAAAGGGGGGCUAAUACCGGAUACGUUCCUCGGAUCGACAGGUCUGGGGAGGAAAGGUGGCGCAAGCUGCCGCUCUUGGAGGGGCUCGCGGCCUAUCAGCUAGUUGGCGGGGUAACGGCCCACCAAGGCUAUGACGGGUAGCUGGUCUGAGAGGACGACCAGUCACACGGGGACUGAGACACGGCCCCGACUCCUACGGGAGGCAGCAGUGGGGAAUUUUCCGCAAUGGGCGAAAGCCUGACGGAGUGACGCCGCGUGUGGGACGAAGGCCUUCGGGUCGUAAACCACUGUCAGUGGGAAAGAAGGGUGUCGGCGCUAAUACCGCCGGCACUUGACGGUACCUGCAGAGGAAGCCCCGGCCAACUCUGUGCCAGCAGCCGCGGUAAGACAGAGGGGGCAAGCGUUGCUCGGAAUUACUGGGCGUAAAGGGCGCGUAGGCGGGAUGGCAAGUCGGUCGUGAAAUCCUUCGGCUCAACCGAAGAACGUCGAUCGAUACUGCUGUUCUUGAGGAUUGCAGAGGAGACUGGAAUUCCCGGUGUAAGGGUGAAAUCUGUAGAGAUCGGGAAGAACACAGCGGCGAAGGCGAUUUUCUGGUCCAUACCUGACGCUAAAUUGCGAAAGCUAGGGGAGCAAACAGAAUUAGAUACUCUGGUAGUCCUAGCCGUAAACGAUGAGCACUAGGUGUUGGCCCUUAUGGGGUCAGUGCCGCAGCUAACGCAUUAAGUGCUCCACCUGGGGACUACGGUCGCAAGGCUAAAACUCAAAGGAAUUGACGGGGGCCCGCACAAGCGGUGGAACAUGUGGUUUAAUUCGAGGAUACGCGAAAAACCUCACCAGGGUUUGACAUACAGGAAGUAGCGAACUGAAAGGGGAGCCAACUGUUAAGUCAGUAGCCUGAACAGGUGCUGCAUGGCUGUCGUCAGCUCGUGUCGUGAGAUGUUGGGUUAAGUCCCGCAACGAGCGCAACCAUUAUCUCUUGUUGCCACCAUUUUUUUGCCGUAAGGUGAGAAGAUGAGCACUCUAGAGAGACUGCCUGGGAUAACCAGGAGGAAGGUGGAGAUGACGUCAAGUCAGUACGGCCUUUAUGCUCUGGGCUACACACGUGUUACAAUGGGAAGUACAGAGGGUUGCCAACCCGCGAGGGGGAGCUAAUCUCUUAAAACUUUCCUCAGUUCAGAUUGAAGUCUGCAAUCCGACUUCAUGAAGCCGGAAUCGCUAGUAAUGGCAGAUCAGCACGCUGCCGUGAAUACGUUCCCGGGCCUUGUACACACCGCCCGUCAAGCGAUGGGAGCUUGGAGUACCCGAAGUCCUAUGUAGAUAGGCCGAAGGUAAAACAGGUGACUGGCGCUAAGUCGUAACAAGGUAACCGUA